CUUCUUGGGUUUAAUAUGAAGUCUGGUCUGCCCACUGAAUAAUAAUUUAAAGGGCCGCGGUAUUUUGACCGUGCAAAGGUAGCAUAAUCAUUAGUUAUCUAAUUAGUAACUGGGAUGAAUGGUUUGACGAAAUAAUUAGUGUCUCUAAUGUAAUUGAUUGAAUUUUACUUUUAAGUUAAAAGGCUUAAAUAUUAAUAAGGGACGAUAAGACCCUAUAGAUCUUUAUAAUAAUUUUAUUAUUAUUGUUUUGGGUGUUUUUUAAUAUAUUUUAUUAAUUUUAUUAUUUUGUUGGGGUGAUGUGAGAAUAUAUAAGCUUCUUAAUUUUUAACUUUGAUGAUUGAGUUUAAGAUCCUAUGUUUAUGGAAAAAAGAUUAAGAUACCUUAGGGAUAACAGCGUAAUCUUGUUGGAAAGUUCUUAUUGAUAAUAAGGAUUGCGACCUCGAUGUUGGAUUAAGAAUAUAAAUUGGUGUAGAUGCUAAUAUUGUUGGUCUGUUC
This 495-nucleotide ribosomal RNA is filed under the name Cardiodactylus tangkoko. RNAcentral describes it as "partial large subunit ribosomal RNA". It matches the Rfam family "Bacterial large subunit ribosomal RNA", at positions 1831 to 2582 of the family's 2925-position model. Lineage: Eukaryota; Metazoa; Arthropoda; Insecta; Orthoptera; Gryllidae. The record is from RNAcentral.